MicroRNA precursor from Panthera pardus (leopard), 96 nucleotides. Ensembl annotates it as microRNA 148b. Its record names the gene MIR148B. The record is from Ensembl. NCBI's taxonomy places the organism in Eukaryota, Metazoa, Chordata, Mammalia, Carnivora, Felidae.
GCACUAUUAGCAUUUGAGGUGAAGUUCUGUUAUACACUCAGGCUGUGGCUCUCUGAAAGUCAGUGCAUCACAGAACUUUGUCUCGAAAGCUUUCUA